GACGAACGCUGGCGGCAUGCCUAACACAUGCAAGUCGAACGAAGGCUUCGGCCUUAGUGGCGCACGGGUGCGUAACGCGUGGGAAUCUGCCCUUGGGUUCGGAAUAACAGUUAGAAAUGACUGCUAAUACCGGAUGAUGUCGUAAGACCAAAGAUUUAUCGCCCAAGGAUGAGCCCGCGUAGGAUUAGCUAGUUGGUGGGGUAAAGGCCUACCAAGGCGACGAUCCUUAGCUGGUCUGAGAGGAUGAUCAGCCACACUGGGACUGAGACACGGCCCAGACUCCUACGGGAGGCAGCAGUGGGGAAUAUUGGAAAAUGGGCGAAAGCCUGAUCCAGCAAUGCCGCGUGAGUGAUGAAGGCCUUAGGGUUGUAAAGCUCUUUUACCCGGGAUGAUAAUGACAGUACCGGGAGAAUAAGCUCCGGCUAACUUCGUG
This 433-nucleotide ribosomal RNA is filed under the name uncultured bacterium. Its description in RNAcentral is "partial 16S ribosomal RNA". It matches the Rfam family "Bacterial small subunit ribosomal RNA", at positions 28 to 507 of the family's 1533-position model. The record is from RNAcentral.